GAUGAACGCUGGCGGCGUGCUUAACACAUGCAAGUCGAACGGAAAGGCUCAAGCUUGCUUGGGUACUCGAGUGGCGAACGGGUGAGUAACACGUGGGUGAUCUGCCCUGCACUUCGGGAUAAGCCUGGGAAACUGGGUCUAAUACCGGAUAGGACCACUUCUUGGAUGUUGUGGUGGAAAGUUUUUUCGGUGUGGGAUGAGCUCGCGGCCUAUCAGCUUGUUGGUGGGGUAAUGGCCUACCAAGGCGUCGACGGGUAGCCGGCCUGAGAGGGUGUACGGCCACAUUGGGACUGAGAUACGGCCCAGACUCCUACGGGAGGCAGCAGUGGGGAAUAUUGCACAAUGGGCGCAAGCCUGAUGCAGCGACGCCGCGUGGGGGAUGACGGCCUUCGGGUUGUAAACUCCUUUCGCUAGGGACGAAGCGUUUUGUGACGGUACCUGGAGAAGAAGCACCGGCUAACUACGUG
This 467-nucleotide ribosomal RNA is filed under the name uncultured bacterium. RNAcentral describes it as "partial 16S ribosomal RNA". It matches the Rfam family "Bacterial small subunit ribosomal RNA", at positions 28 to 507 of the family's 1533-position model. The record is from RNAcentral.